Molecule: ribosomal RNA, 294 nt
Filed under: Blastocystis sp.
Lineage: Eukaryota; Bigyra; Opalinata; Blastocystidae
Description: partial small subunit ribosomal RNA
Rfam family: Eukaryotic small subunit ribosomal RNA
Source: RNAcentral
GAUUAAGCCAUGCAUGUGUAAGUAUAAAUAAUUCUACUUUGAAACUGCGAAUGGCUCAUUAUAUCAGUUAUAGUUUAUUAGAAAAAAUGUACUACUUGGAUAACCGUAGUAAUUCUAGGGCUAAUACAUGAAUGAAUCCUCGACUUUGAAGAGGUGUGUUUAUUAGUAUGAAAACCAUAUGCUUCGGCAUGAUAGUGAGUAAUAAUAACCUUUCGUAUCGUAUGUUGAAAUAACGAUAGUUCUUUCAAGUUUCUGCCCUAUCAGCUUUCGAUGGUAGUGUAUUGGACUACCAUG